RNAcentral lists this ribosomal RNA (477 nucleotides) under uncultured bacterium. RNAcentral describes it as "partial 16S ribosomal RNA". It matches the Rfam family "Bacterial small subunit ribosomal RNA", at positions 28 to 507 of the family's 1533-position model. The record is from RNAcentral.
GAUUAACGCUGGCGGCGUGCAUAACACAUGCAAGUCGAACGAUGAAACUUAAAUGAUUUCUUCGGCAUGAAUUUAAGUGGAUUAGUGGCGGACGGGUUAGUAACGCGUGAGUAACCUGACUUACACAAGGGGAUAGCCGUUGGAAAGGACGAAUAAUACUCUAUGAAACUAUCACUUCGCAUGAUGCGAUAGUCAAAGUGGUAGCGGUGUAAGAUGGACUUGCGUCUGAUUAGCUAGUUGGUGAGAAAAAAGCCGACCAAGGCAACGAUCAGUAGCAGGCUGGAGAGAGGGUACGGCGGCAUUGAGACUGAGACACGACCCAUACGCCUGCGAGAGGCAGCAGUGAGGAAAUUUGCACAAUAGGCGAAAUCCAGAUGCAGCGAGGCCGCGUGAUUGAGAAGGCCUUCGGGUUGUAAAAAUCUUUUGUAUGAGAAGAAAAUGACAGUACUAUACGAAUAAGGUCCGGCUAAUUACGUG